Molecule: ribosomal RNA, 526 nt
Filed under: uncultured archaeon
Lineage: Archaea
Description: bacterial SSU rRNA
Rfam family: Archaeal small subunit ribosomal RNA
Source: RNAcentral
UCGCGAAAACUUUGCAAUACACGCAAGUGUGACAGGGCUAUCCCGAGUGCCAUCCGCUGAGGAAGGCUUUUACCCAGUCUAGAACGCUGGGGGAAUAAGGAGAGGGCAAGUCUGGUGUCAGCCGCCGCGGUAAUACCAGCUCUCCGAGUGGUGUGGAUGUUUAUUGGGCCUAAAGCAUCCGUAGCUGGCUAAGUUAGUCCCUUGUUAAAUCCACCGAAUUAAUCGUUGGAUUGCGGGGGAUACUGCUUGGCUAGGGGACGAGAGAGGCAGACGGUAUUUUUGGGGUAGGGGUGAAAUCCUAUAAUCCCAGGAAGACCACCAGUGGCGAAGGCUGUCUGCUAGAACGCGCCCGACGGUGAGGGAUGAAAGCUGGGGGAGCGAACCGGAUUAGAUACCCGGGUAGUCCCAGCUGUAAACGAUGCAGGCUAGGUGUUUGGACGGCCACGUGCCGUUCUAGUGCCGCAGGGAAGCUGUUAAGCCUGCCGCCUGGGGAUACGAUCGCAAGAUUGAAACUUAAGGAAUUGGC